GGGGGCCCGCCCAAGCGGGGGAGCAUGCGGAUAAAUUGGAUGCAACGCGAAGAACCUUACCAAGGCUUGAAAAGUUCUCAAUCCCGGUAGAGAUACGGUUUCCCCCUUUGGGGCGGGGUCACAGGUGGUGCAUGGGUUGUCGUCAGCUCGUGUCUUAGGAUGUUGGGUUUAAGUCCCCCAACGACCGCAACCCUCGUUCCAUGUUGCCAGCACGUCGUGGUGGGGACUCAUGGGAGACUGCCGGGGUCAACUCGGAGGAAGGUGAGGACCUUGUUUAUAUUUAUCAUGCCCCUUAUGUCUUGGGCUUCACGCAUGCUACAAUGGCCGGUACAAUGGGUUGCGAUACUGUGAGGUGGAGCCAAUCCCAAAAAGCCGGUCUCAGUUCGGAUUGGGGUCUGCAACUCGACCCCAUGAAGUCGGAGUCGCUAGUAAUCGCAGAUCAGCAACGCUGCGGUGAAUACCUUCCCUGGCCCUUACACACCCCCC
This 486-nucleotide ribosomal RNA is filed under the name Micrococcus luteus. Its description in RNAcentral is "bacterial SSU rRNA". It matches the Rfam family "Bacterial small subunit ribosomal RNA", at positions 915 to 1395 of the family's 1533-position model. Lineage: Bacteria; Bacillati; Actinomycetota; Actinomycetes; Micrococcales; Micrococcaceae. The record is from RNAcentral.